GAGUUUGAUCGUGGCUCAGGAUGAACGCCGGCGGCGUGCCUAAUACAUGCAAGUCGAGCGAACGGACGAGAAGCUUGCUUCUCUGAUGUUAGCGGCGGACGGGUGAGUAACACGUGGGUAACCUACCUAUAAGACUGGGGAUAACUCCGGGAAACCGGGGCUAAUACCGGAUAACAUAUGAAACCGCAUGGUUUCAUGAUGAAAGACGGUCUUGCUGUCACUUAUAGAUGGAUCCGCGCUGCAUUAGCUAGUUGGUAAGGUAACGGCUUACCAAGGCAACGAUGCAUAGCCGACCUGAGAGGGUGAUCGGCCACACUGGAACUGAGACACGGUCCAGACUCCUACGGGAGGCAGCAGUAGGGAAUCUUCCGCAAUGGGCGAAAGCCUGACGGAGCAACGCCGCGUGAGCGAUGAAGGUCUUCGGAUCGUAAAACUCUGUUAUUAGGGAAGACAUAUGUGUAAGUAACUGUGCACAUCUUGACGGUACCUAAUCAGAAAGCCACGGCUAACUACGU
This 515-nucleotide ribosomal RNA is filed under the name uncultured microorganism. RNAcentral describes it as "bacterial SSU rRNA". It matches the Rfam family "Bacterial small subunit ribosomal RNA", at positions 9 to 506 of the family's 1533-position model. The record is from RNAcentral.